UGAGUCUGCACAAUUCACCAGGUGGCAUUC
This 30-nucleotide non-coding RNA is filed under the name Mus musculus (house mouse). Lineage: Eukaryota; Metazoa; Chordata; Mammalia; Rodentia; Muridae. The record is from RNAcentral.